GUUAAGCAGCAACAGUGUAAUCGCGUUGGUUUGUGUGGCUGGGAAUCAUCUCCAGCGUGUUUGAGCGCCGCCCGCUGGAUCACCCAGGUUCGGAUCGGGAUUCGGGACCAGGGUGGAGGAUAGGGGGUAGGUACGAGGACGUAAGCUUGAGAAAAAAGGACGAAAAUGAGAGAAAUAAAAACGAGCCGAGAGAUGGAAAUGGAAGAAAUGAGCAAGAGAUAAGGAAUAGAGAAGGUAGAAAGCGAGAAGGAGAUAAGUAUGCGAGAAGAGAAGGAUACAAAAGAACGGGAAUCUCGAAGUAGAAGAGAAAAAAGGGGAAAUGAACGAAAUGAGGGAAUAAAAGAAAACGAGAGAAAAGGAUAAGGUAGCAUAACGAA
Molecule: long non-coding RNA, 377 nt
Organism: Penaeus indicus
Lineage: Eukaryota; Metazoa; Arthropoda; Malacostraca; Decapoda; Penaeidae
Exons: 2
Source: RefSeq, a predicted model, not a curated record